This 534-nucleotide ribosomal RNA is filed under the name Salinivibrio sp. IB870. RNAcentral's name for it is "bacterial SSU rRNA". It matches the Rfam family "Bacterial small subunit ribosomal RNA", at positions 793 to 1327 of the family's 1533-position model. The record is from RNAcentral. Lineage: Bacteria; Pseudomonadati; Pseudomonadota; Gammaproteobacteria; Vibrionales; Vibrionaceae.
GUCCACGCCGUAAACGCUGUCUACUUGGAGGUUGAGGUUUAGACUUUGGCUUUCGGCGCUAACGCAUUAAGUAGACCGCCUGGGGAGUACGGCCGCAAGGUUAAAACUCAAAUGAAUUGACGGGGGCCCGCACAAGCGGUGGAGCAUGUGGUUUAAUUCGAUGCAACGCGAAGAACCUUACCUACUCUUGACAUCCAGAGAACUUUCCAGAGAUGGAUUGGUGCCUUCGGGAGCUCUGAGACAGGUGCUGCAUGGCUGUCGUCAGCUCGUGUUGUGAAAUGUUGGGUUAAGUCCCGCAACGAGCGCAACCCUUAUCCUUGUUUGCCAGCACRUAAWGGUGGGAACUCCAGGGAGACUGCCGGUGAUAAACCGGAGGAAGGUGGGGACGACGUCAAGUCAUCAUGGCCCUUACGAGUAGGGCUACACACGUGCUACAAUGGCAGAUACAGAGGGCAGCGAAGCUGCGAAGUGGAGCGAAUCCCUUAAAGUUUGUCGUAGUCCGGAUUGGAGUCUGCAACUCGACUCCAUGAAGUC